AGUGCCUGGGACAUAGGAGUGCUUAAAAAAAGAUGAGCGACGUUAAGAAUCCUUGAGAAAACCUAAUGGAAUGAUAUUACCAGUGACCAAAAGAACUGUUAAGCCUGUUGUGCAGUUACAUUGAGGAAAUGUCAGAGGAUUUAUGGUGACAUCGACAAAGAAAUUCAGAAAGAAAGAAAUACUGUAUUACUAGCCAAAAUGAAGAAGCAA
RNAcentral lists this long non-coding RNA (210 nucleotides) under Pan troglodytes (chimpanzee). RNAcentral describes it as "long non-coding RNA NONPTRT017098". The record is from RNAcentral. Lineage: Eukaryota; Metazoa; Chordata; Mammalia; Primates; Hominidae.